Molecule: non-coding RNA, 502 nt
Organism: Phascolarctos cinereus (koala)
Lineage: Eukaryota; Metazoa; Chordata; Mammalia; Diprotodontia; Phascolarctidae
Source: RefSeq, a predicted model, not a curated record
CUGAGCUUCCAGUCUAGAAUUUCCAAGCUUUGGAGGCAACACAGAGAAAAGGAAGUCAUAAGGAUACAUACUAUAUGUGUGUAUUUUCCAGCUUAUGAGACUAUAACUGGUCGAUUGUGUGUUCCUGUGCAAUUCAUCAAAACAAUAUCACUGAGACAGCAAAAGGCUGGACAAGGCAAGGGAAUGAAAGACAAUUGAUGAUUUACAGACAGAUAUGAGAUAUGAAAAACAGACUGAUCUAGAGAUAAAAAUAGGGAGUUUCAGUCAAAUUUUCUUUGGAUAGACUUUUGGAGAGGUGGAAAGAAGGAAGAAAGGAAGGAAGGAAGGAAGGAAUAAGUUCUCACUAUGUUCCAGAUUUAAAACCGCUGGAGGGCAAGGAUCAAGUCUUUCUAUUUAAAAUAGUGAUUUGGACAAAAACACAAUAGUAUUUAUUAAUUCUGUCAAACACUACACCUUUGGAUGUAAAUUUGUUGUGAAAUUUUCCCCUUCCUUCAAAAACAAC